Molecule: ribosomal RNA, 497 nt
Filed under: uncultured bacterium
Lineage: Bacteria
Description: partial 16S ribosomal RNA
Rfam family: Bacterial small subunit ribosomal RNA
Source: RNAcentral
GAUGAACGCUGGCGGCGUGCCUAAUACAUGCAAGUCGAGCGAACAGACGAGGAGCUUGCUCCUCUGACGUUAGCGGCGGACGGGUGAGUAACACGUGGAUAACCUACCUAUAAGACUGGGAUAACUUCGGGAAACCGGAGCUAAUACCGGAUAACAUGUUGAACCGCAUGGUUCAACAGUGAAAGACGGUCUUGCUGUCACUUAUAGAUGGAUCCGCGCCGCAUUAGCUAGUUGGUAAGGUAACGGCUUACCAAGGCAACGAUGCGUAGCCGACCUGAGAGGGGGAUCGGCCACACGGGAACUGAGACACGGUCCAGACUCCUACGGGAGGCAGCAGUAGGAAAUCUUCCGCAAUGGGCGAAAGCCUGACGGAGCAACGCCGCGUGAGUGAAGAAGGUCUUCGGAUCGUAAAACUCUGUUAUUAGGGAAGAACAAAUGUGUAAGUAACUAUGCACGUCUUGACGGUACCUAAUCAGAAAGCCACGGCUAACUACGUG